UAAGCUAUGAUCCAGAGAUUUCCGAAUGGGGGAACCCAACAUCUUUAAUAGGAUGUUACGAUUGUGUGAAUACAUAGCACAUUCGAGGUAGACGCAGAGAACUGAAACAUCUAAGUACCUGCAGGAAGAGAAAGAAAAUUCGAUUCCCUGAGUAGCGGCGAGCGAAACGGGAAAAGCCCAAACCAGCAAGCUUGCUUGUUGGGGUUGUAGGACUCCAAUAUGGUAGUUCUUUCAGAUAGUCGAAUGACUUGGAAAAGUCAGUCAAAGAGGGUAAAAACCCCGUAGACGAAAUGUGGAAGACACCUAGGAGGAUCCUGAGUACGGCGGAACACGAGAAAUUCCGUCGGAAUCCGGGAGGACCAUCUCCCAAGGCUAAAUACUCCCUAGUGACCGAUAGUGAACCAGUACCGUGAGGGAAAGGUGAAAAGCACCCCGGAAGGGGAGUGAAAUAGAACCUGAAACCGUGUGCCUACAACAAGUCAAAGCCCGUUAAUGGGUGAUGGCGUGCCUUUUGUAGAAUGAACCGGCGAGUUACGAUUGCAUGCGAGGUUAAGUUGAAGAGACGGAGCCGCAGCGAAAGCGAGUCUGAAUAGGGCGUUUGAGUAUGUAGUCGUAGACCCGAAACCAUGUGAUCUACCCAUGUCCAGGUUGAAGGUGCGGUAAAACGCACUGGAGGACCGAACCCACGUACGUUGAAAAGUGCGGGGAUGAGGUGUGGGUAGCGGAGAAAUUCCAAACGAACUUGGAGAUAGCUGGUUCUCUCCGAAAUAGCUUUAGGGCUAGCCUCGGAAUU
Molecule: ribosomal RNA, 793 nt
Filed under: Enterococcus faecium
Lineage: Bacteria; Bacillati; Bacillota; Bacilli; Lactobacillales; Enterococcaceae
Description: partial 23S ribosomal RNA
Rfam family: Bacterial large subunit ribosomal RNA
Source: RNAcentral